Molecule: ribosomal RNA, 376 nt
Filed under: Ochromonas tuberculata
Lineage: Eukaryota; Chrysophyceae; Chromulinales; Chromulinaceae
Description: partial small subunit ribosomal RNA
Rfam family: Eukaryotic small subunit ribosomal RNA
Source: RNAcentral
GCUUGUCUCAAAGAUUAAGCCAUGCAUGUCUAAGUAUAAACAAAUUUAUAGUGAAACUGCGAAUGGCUCAUUAUAUCAGUUAUAGUUUAUUUGGCGAUAAAAACUACUUGGAUAACCGUAGUAAUUCUAGAGCUAAUACAUGCAUCAUCCCCCAUCUCGGGGUGUAUUUAUUAGAUGGAAACCAAUGCGGGGCAACCCGGAAUAUGGUGAUUCAUAAUAACUUUCGGAUCGAUUUAUCGAUGCAUCAUUCAAGUUUCUGCCCUAUCAGCUUUGGAUGGUAGGGUAUUGGCCUACCAUGGCUUUAACGGGUAACGGAGAAUUAGGGUUCGAUUCCGGAGAGGGAGCCUGAGAAAUGGCUACCACAUCCAAGGAAGGC